GACGAACGCUGGCGGCGUGCCUAAUACAUGCAAGUAGAACGCUGAAGGAGGAGCUUGCUUCUCUGGAUGAGUUGCGAACGGGUGAGUAACGCGUAGGUAACCUGCCUGGUAGCGGGGGAUAACUAUUGGAAACGAUAGCUAAUACCGCAUAAGAGUAGAUGUUGCAUGACAUUUGCUUAAAAGGUGCAAUUGCAUCACUACCAGAUGGACCUGCGUUGUAUUAGCUAGUUGGUGGGGUAACGGCUCACCAAGGCGACGAUACAUAGCCGACCUGAGAGGGGGAUCGGCCACACUGGGACUGAGACACGGCCCAGACUCCUACGGGAGGCAGCAGUAGGGAAUCUUCGGCAAUGGACGGAAGUCUGGCCGAGCAACGCCGCGUGAGUGAAGAAGGGUUUCGGAUCGUAAAGCUCUGUUGUAAGAGAAGAACGAGUGUGAGAGUGGAAAGUUCACACUGUGACGGUAUCUUACCAGAAAGGGACGGCUAACUACGUG
RNAcentral lists this ribosomal RNA (495 nucleotides) under uncultured bacterium. RNAcentral describes it as "partial 16S ribosomal RNA". It matches the Rfam family "Bacterial small subunit ribosomal RNA", at positions 28 to 507 of the family's 1533-position model. The record is from RNAcentral.